This 797-nucleotide ribosomal RNA is filed under the name Listeria monocytogenes. RNAcentral describes it as "bacterial SSU rRNA". It matches the Rfam family "Bacterial small subunit ribosomal RNA", at positions 1 to 779 of the family's 1533-position model. The record is from RNAcentral. Lineage: Bacteria; Bacillati; Bacillota; Bacilli; Caryophanales; Listeriaceae.
UUUAAAGAGAGUUUGAUCCUGGCUCAGGACGAACGCUGGCGGCGUGCCUAAUACAUGCAAGUCGAACGAACGGAGGAAGAGCUUGCUCUUCCAAAGUUAGUGGCGGACGGGUGAGUAACACGUGGGCAACCUGCCUGUAAGUUGGGGAUAACUCCGGGAAACCGGGGCUAAUACCGAAUGAUAGAGUGUGGCGCAUGCCACGCUUUUGAAAGAUGGUUUCGGCUAUCGCUUACAGAUGGGCCCGCGGUGCAUUAGCUAGUUGGUAGGGUAAUGGCCUACCAAGGCAACGAUGCAUAGCCGACCUGAGAGGGUGAUCGGCCACACUGGGACUGAGACACGGCCCAGACUCCUACGGGAGGCAGCAGUAGGGAAUCUUCCGCAAUGGACGAAAGUCUGACGGAGCAACGCCGCGUGUAUGAAGAAGGUUUUCGGAUCGUAAAGUACUGUUGUUAGAGAAGAACAAGGAUAAGAGUAACUGCUUGUCCCUUGACGGUAUCUAACCAGAAAGCCACGGCUAACUACGUGCCAGCAGCCGCGGUAAUACGUAGGUGGCAAGCGUUGUCCGGAUUUAUUGGGCGUAAAGCGCGCGCAGGCGGUCUUUUAAGUCUGAUGUGAAAGCCCCCGGCUUAACCGGGGAGGGUCAUUGGAAACUGGAAGACUGGAGUGCAGAAGAGGAGAGUGGAAUUCCACGUGUAGCGGUGAAAUGCGUAGAUAUGUGGAGGAACACCAGUGGCGAAGGCGACUCUCUGGUCUGUAACUGACGCUGAGGCGCGAAAGCGUGGGGAGCAAACAGGAUU